RNAcentral lists this ribosomal RNA (271 nucleotides) under uncultured bacterium. RNAcentral describes it as "partial small subunit ribosomal RNA". It matches the Rfam family "Bacterial small subunit ribosomal RNA", at positions 26 to 285 of the family's 1533-position model. The record is from RNAcentral.
AGAAUCAACGCUGGCGGCGUGCCUAAUACAUGCAAGUCGAACGCGAAAGUCCCGCAAGGGCAAGUAGAGUGGCAAACGGGUGAGUAACGCGUGGGCGACCUACCUUCGAGUGGGGGAUAACCUUCCGAAAGGAGGGCUAAUACCGCAUGACAUACCGUGUUUGGAUACACGGACAUCAAAGCCGGGGAUCGCAAGACCUGGCGCUUGAAGAGGGGCCUACGUCCGAUUAGCUAGUUGGUGAGGUAACGGCUCACCAAGGCUUCGAUCGGUA